RNAcentral lists this non-coding RNA (58 nucleotides) under unclassified sequences. RNAcentral describes it as "Transposase-1 RNA". It matches the Rfam family "Transposase-1 RNA". Rfam says of the family: Lactobacillales (Firmicutes). Environment (Human Microbiome Project, vagina) The record is from Rfam by way of RNAcentral.
UGUUCAGAGAUUGUCAAUGUCGUUACCUACACAGUAGAUACGGGAAUACAAUUGUUAA